GGGACUAUCCUUAACUCAUGUAAGGCUUUAAAAACAAUCGAAAUUUGUAAGUCUUUUAAUCUUUUCCUUUAAGGUGAUCUUCUGUGAUUAGUUAUAUACCCCUCUCUUGUACCUUUUUUUAUUUUAUUUUUUAUUUAAAUUUUUUUAAUUAUUUAUUCAUUUUUUAUUAUUAUUAUUUUAUUAUUAUUAUUAUUUGUUCUACAUUGUGACUGCUUCUUUCUUUGUCUAUAUAAUGAUCUUAAUUUAAUAAAUAAAUAAAUAAAUAAAUAAAUAAUGUGAGGGUUUAGGGUGCCAUUUGGGAUUCAAUCAGAGUGAGCCCUUUCAAACUCAAGGAUCAAACCAAAUCAUAAUCACAGGGAAAAUGAAAAAUCAUACACAUACAUAAACACGUAGAUAAACUCAACAAUUGAAAAUCAAAUUUUAACGUCAAUAUUAUGCAAAUAAAUACAAAAAAUAAACAAAACAAUACAUUUAUACAUACAUUCAAAUAAACACAAUGAAACAAUGACCCCCUGCUCACACUGGUAAGUAGACUAUGCCUACACUACCCAUAAUUCCUCAUGAUGGCAUAAAAAAGGAAACAGGAAGGCCACACUUCCUCUUAAAUCCCCACCCCCAUCCCGGAGCCAUGCUGCAGCCAUGAACCCAAAGACAAAAGACACAUUUGCAACAAGGUUAAGCUCCAGUGAGCAAACCUUCACUGCAAGGUACCUUCAUCUGCAUGUUCCAGAUUCUAGGACCCAUUUGGUGCAAGAGAUCAGGCUGUUGAAAUGGAUUCUGGCUCCUUUCCUCACUGGAUUUUUACACAGCACAACCAGUGGAAUAAGACACCACCACCAGACUGCUCACUCGACCACAUGGAACGUAUCAAAUAUCACUUGACCAAAUCCAGAGACCUUGGCAUUUUUAUCAGUAUAUGAUUUUCUAAAUUACAUUAGAUGUUGUGAAGCUUACAUUUUACAUUUAUGCAUUUGGCAGACGCUUUUAUCCAAAGCGACUUACAUUGCAUUAUAUUAUAAUAAUAAUAUAAUGCCAGAGACCUUGGCAUUUUUAUCAGUAUAUGAUUUUCUAAAUUACAUUAGAUGUUGUGAAGCUUACAUUUUACAUUUAUGCAUUUGGCAGACGCUUUUAUCCAAAGCGACUUACAUUGCAUUAUAUUAUACAUUUGUAUCUGAGUAUGUGCAAUCCCUGGGAUUGAACCCACGACCUUGGCAUUGCUAGUGCCAUUCUCUAACCACUGAGCUACAGGAAAGCAUGAUGUCAGAAACAAAUAAACUUUCAUUUGUUAGAUGCAUAAUCAGGUUUUUCACAUUACUUUCAGGGAAAAAAAAGUUAAUCUUUCCAUAAGAUAAUGCUACUCUGCCAUAGCAACACCCAACUUAAUCACUUGUAUCUUGUUGAUCUUAAGCACUUUAUUCCUUUAUCAUUCAUUUAUUUCAUUUUGGCAGUUGUGUUGAUUACUGUUGUUUAUCUUUUUGUUAAUAAAAUAUUAUACUUGUGA
Ctenopharyngodon idella (grass carp) is the source of this 1501-nucleotide long non-coding RNA. RefSeq lists it as uncharacterized. NCBI's taxonomy places the organism in Eukaryota, Metazoa, Chordata, Actinopteri, Cypriniformes, Xenocyprididae. The transcript is spliced from 2 exons. The record is from RefSeq and is a predicted model, not a curated record.